Molecule: ribosomal RNA, 252 nt
Filed under: uncultured bacterium
Lineage: Bacteria
Description: partial 16S ribosomal RNA
Rfam family: Bacterial small subunit ribosomal RNA
Source: RNAcentral
UACGUAGGCAGCGAGCGUUGUUCGGAGUUACUGGGCGUAAAGAGUGCGUAGGCGGUUUUCUAAGUUUGGUGUGAAAUCUCCCGGCUUAACUGGGAGGGUGCGCCGAAGACUGGAAGGCUAGAGUAUGGGAGAGGUAAGCGGAAUUCCUGGUGUAGCGGUGAAAUGCGUAGAUAUCAGGAGGAACACCUGCGGUGUAGACGGCUUACUGGACCAUAACUGACGCUGAGGCACGAAAGCGUGGGUAGCAAACAG